GACGAACGCUGGCGGCGUGCUUAACACAUGCAAGUCGAACGGUGAAGCGCCUUCCUUUUUGGUUGGUGUGGAUGAGUGGCGAACGGGUGAGUAACACGUGCGUAACCUGCCCCCUUCUUCUGGAUAACCGCAUGAAAGUGUGGCUAAUACGGGAUAUUCUGGGUCUGUCGCAUGAUGGGUCUGGGAAAGAUAUUGUUUCGGUGGGGGAUGGGCUCGCGGCCUAUCAGCUUGUUGGUGGGGUGAUGGCCUACCAAGGCGGUGACGGGUAGCCGGCCUGAGAGGGUGGACGGUCACACUGGGACUGAGACACGGCCCAGACUCCGACAGGAAGCAGCAGUGGGGAAUAUUGCACAGUGGGCGCAAGCCUGAUGCAGCGACGCCGCGGGAGGGAUGGAGGCCUGCGGGUUGUGAACCUCUUUCGCCAGUGAAGCAGGCCUGCCUCGUAUGUGGGUGGGUUGACGGUAGCUGGAUAAGAAGCGCCGGCUAACUACGUG
RNAcentral lists this ribosomal RNA (494 nucleotides) under uncultured bacterium. RNAcentral's name for it is "partial 16S ribosomal RNA". It matches the Rfam family "Bacterial small subunit ribosomal RNA", at positions 28 to 507 of the family's 1533-position model. The record is from RNAcentral.